This 1390-nucleotide ribosomal RNA is filed under the name uncultured bacterium. RNAcentral's name for it is "bacterial SSU rRNA". It matches the Rfam family "Bacterial small subunit ribosomal RNA". The record is from RNAcentral.
AGAGUUUGAUCCUGGCUCAGGAUGAACGCUAGGGACAGGCCUACACCAUGCAAGUCGAGGGGUACAGGGGGCUUCGGGCCCGCUGACGACCGGCGCACGGGUGAGUAAACGCGUAUGCAACCUGCCUGUAACAGCGGGAUAGCUCCCUGAAAGGGGAAUUAACACCGCAUAAGACCACGCUCUCGCAUGGGGACGGGGUAAAAUAUUUAUAGGUUACAGAUGGGCAUGCGUGACAUUAGUUAGUUGGUGAGGUAACGGCUCACCAAGACUGCGAUGUCUAGGGGUUCUGAGAGGAAGGUCCCCCACACUGGAACUGAGACACGGUCCAGACUCCUACGGGAGGCAGCAGUGAGGAAUAUUGGUCAAUGGACGCAAGUCUGAACCAGCCAUGUCGCGUGCAGGAUGACUGCCCUAUGGGUUGUAAACUGCUUUUAUAUUGGAAGAAUUGCGCUUACGAGUUAAGCGUUUGACGGUACAUUAUGAAUAAGGAUCGGCUAACUCCGUGCCAGCAGCCGCGGUAAUACGGAGGAUCCGAGCGUUAUCCGGAUUUAUUGGGUUUAAAGGGUGCGUAGGCGGAAAUGUAAGUCAGUGGUGAAAUCCUGCAGCUUAACUGUAGAAUAGCCGUUGAAACUGUGUUUCUUGAGUACAUUUGAGGUAGGCGGAAUGUGGUGUGUAGCGGUGAAAUGCAUAGAUAUACCACAGAACACCGAUUGCGAAGGCAGCUUACUAAACUGUCACUGACGCUGAUGCACGAAAGCGUGGGUAUCAAACAGGAUUAGAUACCCUGGUAGUCCACGCUGUAAACGAUGAUAACUCGCUGUCGGCGAUACACAGUCGGUGGCCAAGCGAAAGCAUUAAGUUAUCCACCUGGGGAGUACGACCGCAAGGUUGAAACUCAAAGGAAUUGACGGGGGCCCGCACAAGCGGAGGAACAUGUGGUUUAAUUCGAUGAUACGCGAGGAACCUUACCCGGGCUCGAACGGUGCAUAAAUAUACGAGAGAUUGUAUAGUCCUUCGGGACAUGUAUCGAGGUGCUGCAUGGUUGUCGUCAGCUCGUGCCGUGAGGUGUCGGCUUAAGUGCCAUAACGAGCGCAACCCUUGUCAUUAGUUGCCAUCAGGUCAAGCUGGGGACUUUAAUGAGACUGCCACCGUAAGGUGUGAGGAAGGGGGGGAUGACGUCAAAUCAGCACGGCCCUUAUGUCCGGGGCGACACACGUGUUACAAUGGGAGGUACAGAGGGCAGCUAUCCGGUGACGGAAUGCUAAUCUCCAAAACCUUUCUCAGUUCGGAUUGGAGUCUGCAACUCGACUCCAUGAAGGUGGAUUCGCUAGUAAUCGCGCAUCAGCCAUGGCGCGGUGAAUACGUUCCCGGGCCUUGCACUCACCGCCCG